RNAcentral lists this ribosomal RNA (253 nucleotides) under uncultured bacterium. RNAcentral's name for it is "partial 16S ribosomal RNA". It matches the Rfam family "Bacterial small subunit ribosomal RNA", at positions 524 to 776 of the family's 1533-position model. The record is from RNAcentral.
UACGUAGGUGGCAAGCGUUGUCCGGAUUUAUUGGGUUUAAAGGGUGCGUAGGCGGCCAAUUAAGUCAGUGCUGAAAUACUCUAGCUUAACUAGAGGGGUGGCAUUGAUACUGAUUGGCUUGAGUGAAGUCGAGGUAGGCGGAAUUGACGGUGUAGCGGUGAAAUGCUUAGAUAUACGGAGGAACACCUGCGGCGAAGGCGGGUAGCUGGGCCAACACUGACGCUGAGACGCGAAAGCUAGGGGAGCAAACGGG